CCUUCUGUGCCCCCAGCACCACGUGUCUGGGCCACGUGAGCAACGCCACGUGGGCCUGACGUGGAGCUGGGGCCGCAGGGGUC
Molecule: non-coding RNA, 83 nt
Organism: Cricetulus griseus (Chinese hamster)
Lineage: Eukaryota; Metazoa; Chordata; Mammalia; Rodentia; Cricetidae
Source: Rfam